RNAcentral lists this long non-coding RNA (225 nucleotides) under Zostera marina. RNAcentral's name for it is "long non-coding RNA (ZMAR_LNC001701)". The record is from RNAcentral. Lineage: Eukaryota; Viridiplantae; Streptophyta; Magnoliopsida; Alismatales; Zosteraceae.
CCUGGUCCAACUGGGAGAAGGGUUGACAAUUCUGAGAGAGUGAACACUUGGGAGAGUUGAGGUUGUGGGCUUACACCAGCGAGCACACACAUCAACAGUGGUGAACCUGACGUGAACGAAAUACAUGGCGGCCGGAGAGAAAAGGAUGACGAAGAGCGGUUACCAGGUGGGGGAGAGCUCUAAGCGACCCGAGCGGGAGCCGGAGGAGUAUCGGCCGGAGCGACG